GGAGGUUUGGGUGAGCGGUUUAAACCAGCAGUCUUGAAAACUGCCGGGGAUGUGAGUCCCCCGUGAGUUCGAAUCUCACAGCCUCCGCCA
This 90-nucleotide transfer RNA is filed under the name Burkholderiales bacterium. Its description in RNAcentral is "tRNA-Ser". It matches the Rfam family "tRNA". From Rfam's summary of the family: Transfer RNA (tRNA) molecules are approximately 80 nucleotides in length. Lineage: Bacteria; Pseudomonadati; Pseudomonadota; Betaproteobacteria; Burkholderiales. The record is from RNAcentral. RNAcentral also lists the same sequence under 1 other name.